This 24-nucleotide microRNA is filed under the name Oryza sativa (Asian cultivated rice). RNAcentral's name for it is "osa-miR396f-3p". Its record names the gene osa-miR396f-3p. Lineage: Eukaryota; Viridiplantae; Streptophyta; Magnoliopsida; Poales; Poaceae. The record is from miRBase by way of RNAcentral. RNAcentral also lists the same sequence under 1 other name.
AUAGUUCAAGAAAGUCCUUGGAAA